Molecule: ribosomal RNA, 550 nt
Filed under: uncultured bacterium
Lineage: Bacteria
Description: bacterial SSU rRNA
Rfam family: Bacterial small subunit ribosomal RNA
Source: RNAcentral
UAGGGAAUCUUCGGCAAUGGGGGCAACCCUGACCGAGCAACGCCGCGUGAGUGAAGAAGGUUUUCGGAUCGUAAAGCUCUGUUGUAAGAGAAGAACGAGUGUGAGAGUGGAAAGUUCACACUGUGACGGUAACUUACCAGAAAGGGACGGCUAACUACGUGCCAGCAGCCGCGGUAAUACGUAGGUCCCGAGCGUUAUCCGGAUUUAUUGGGCGUAAAGCGAGCGCAGGCGGUUAGAUAAGUCUGAAGUUAAAGGCUGUGGCUUAACCAUAGUACGCUUUGGAAACUGUUUAACUUGAGUGCAGAAGGGGAGAGUGGAAUUCCAUGUGUAGCGGUGAAAUGCGUAGAUAUAUGGAGGAACACCGGUGGCGAAAGCGGCUCUCUGGUCUGUAACUGACGCUGAGGCUCGAAAGCGUGGGGAGCGAACAGGAUUAGAUACCCUGGUAGUCCGCGCCGUAAACGAUGAGUGCUAGGUGUUGGAUCCUUUCCGGGAUUCAGUGCCGCAGCUAACGCAUUAAGCACUCCGCCUGGGGAGUACGACCGCAAGGUUG